Molecule: long non-coding RNA, 8621 nt
Filed under: Citrus x clementina
Lineage: Eukaryota; Viridiplantae; Streptophyta; Magnoliopsida; Sapindales; Rutaceae
Description: Citrus clementina (C. clementina) long non-coding RNA (CCLE_LNC001420)
Source: RNAcentral
AGUAGAUGCCUUUCCGUUACGAAGAUUAGAAAACGUAAUUUCCCCAUUAGAGCCUAAAAUGGCAGCCCAGGUAGCAUUCUCAUCAUUGUUUUCUGAGAAGAUGAAUUGCCAAAGCAAUGCCUUUCUAAUAUCAUAAAAAUUCCAAGCAUUGGACACCAAAGAAGCAGAAUGGACCUUGGCAGCUACACUGGUAUUGGUUUUCCGGCUGUCGUUAGCCAAGGACCAAUACGUUUGUGAAGUUUGAUACCCUGCAUACAAGACUAAAUCGCCUGACUUGAAUUCCAGAUAAACACUCAUGUUAUUGCUAUUGGGAAAACUUUUAAGCCUCAUCCCUUCCACAAACUGUUGGCCAGGUAAAAGGGUAUCAGUUGGAUGGCUAAAACUCUGCCAAAGAAUACUUCCAUUUACCCCAAGCAAUACCAAGUUGCCCGAGUCCUGCAAUUCCAUGCAUUCAACUUUCUGUCCUGAAGUAUUAGCAGACCAAGCUUCACCAUUUCCUCUUUGUAAAUACGCAUUCCCAUUUUUCUCAAACACAAACUUAUCAGAAUCUCUAAUCAACAAGCCUCUAUUGGCAGUCCAAACUACUUUUGCGCUACUAAUAUGAAUAACAACCAGCAAAAAGAAUUGAACAUCCAAAGCAGUAUAAAAGCCAAAACCAAAAACCGAGUUAUUAGAGAUUAGAAAAAGCCCGUUGUUAUUGAUCCACUCCAUCUGGGUUGCUUCAAACCCAGGAUAAAGCUUGCCAAUAUGUUGGGAGCCAGCAAUGCAGGUUUUGAACACAAGGAGUAGACAAAAACACAAGGCCCCAGUGUAUCUAAAUAAACCCAUAAUUUCUUUAACUGCAAAAACGCACUCAACUUUCCCAAAUAAACACGAGCAACUUACAACCAAAAAUUAGCUCAAAAUAACUAAAAAAAUUACAGAUUUUGCUAUAUUUCUUAAAAUUUAAACAUUUGCAGGAGAACUUUGAGAUAGAACAAAGUGUAUUGAAAUUAAAUCACAAAAAAAUCAUAAAAAGACUGAUAAAAUAUAUAAAUAGCAAUUGUUCUGCAGACCCUCUAAAUAAAGAAUCAGUCAAAUUACAAGCUGCGUGAAUCAAAGAGUCAAAAAUCUUUUCUUUAAGCAAAAAAGGGCAAAAGCAAAAAGACUUAAAGAAACUUGGAACCGUGGCAACUGACCUCAAUUGUGUUACAGAAACAAAUGCGACUGCAUAGCUGGGGUCUUUGGCUUUUCCCCUAUUUUGAGGAAAUAGAAGCCAAUCCUUUCGCUUUCUCCAGAUAGAAAAAAGGAAGAGAAAGUUGGAAAAGCAGGUAAUGCAGAUGAUUGUGCAACUGCAACCAAGACUUUAAUUACAACGACGUUAAUCCAUGUGUGGUUGCGUUUUGUCCUUUCUAGUUUCUUUCACUUUCUUUGUUUCUUAUCUAUGUGCGUUACAUGUGAUUGACUCCAAAUACCAAAUUUGUGUGUCCUUUCUUGGAUGCCUUUCCCUGUUCACAUUUUGAGUUUUCAGACUUUCGUUAUCCUUUCUUGGAAACUUUUUUUGGGCGAGAUGAACUCUUACUCAUGACCUUCAUUUUCUUUGUAACACUGUUACUUAAUUUAGGUUAAAACCUUAUCUCAUAUACCCAUCAGUGUAUUUGGAUGCUAAUUGAUUAUAAAAAUAAAAAUUAAACCUUUGACAAAAAUUAGAUUAUGAGAGAAUCUGUGCCAAUUAUGAUCGGACCUGAAAUCUAGGAUAUCCGUCUCUAAUGCAACAAUUUAUAUCUUUUGUUUACAAUUUGAUUAUUUUAAUAUUAGCGUGAAUCUAUUUGAUGUACAACACAGUGCAUAUGAACUGUGAAAGCUCCUUCACUGCUGCUUUACAAGUUACAACCACUAGCUUAAUUUGUAAUUAAUGGAUGGAUAAGAUAAAGCCAAAUUAAUAAUACAAUCAGCUAUAUUAUAAAUUCUUUACUCAAUCAAUUAUUUAAUCAUACAAUUUGCUCAACUGAGAUUUGCAUGAUCAUAAUAAAUUAAUACCAAGGUGUUGCAUCUAAUCAUAAUGCCACUAAUGAAAGCUUCCCCCAAUCUUGUCUUCUUCGCUCGAACGAGUUUUAGAGGACGAUGGCUGUCCGUGAAAUUAAGACUUCAUGAUAAGGGUCAAGAUCCCACGACCAAUCAAAACGCAUCUGAUUUCACUUUGCAGUUUGGUGAUAUUUUUUAAUGCUAAAAAAAGAAUUAGAAUAUUUUAUUGGUUGGGAUCGAUAAUUAUUUUUAUCUCGAUAAAAUGAUUGAAGCUGUCACUACAACAAUAAUGACCUUUUGCAACAACAAGGGUUUGUUGAUCAAAGUAUAAAUUUUGUUACCUUAGAUUGUUGCAACAAAAAUACGUUUGUCUUUAAGGUCGUCGACCUAGCACUGUCGCGCUCUAUAUUCAGCAACAAAACAAAAGUUUUCUUGCUUUAAACAUUUUUUUGCAACAAAAUAGAUUCGUAAUAAAAAAGUGUCCAAUUAGUUUACAAAAUUGUUUUGCAACAAACUCUUUUGUUGCCCUUACACUAAAUGUUUUUUACAACAAUAUUAUUUUGUUGCUAAGAAAUAGGAUAAAUAAUUUUACUACAAAACAAUUGUGUAGAAAUAAAAUUUUUUCAACAAAAUAAUUAUAUUAAAAUUUCUUAAAUUUAAUACAAUGAUAAUUAAUACCAUUAUAAGAAAAAAGAAAUUAAUUAAUUCAAAAGAAUUACUAUUAUUGAUGACAAAUACAUAAAAAUUAUUGCAAGAUGUAAUAUCUAUUUUUUUAAAUUACAAAUGAAUAUAACUUUAUUAAUUUUCUUCAUCUCGUGGUAUGAUUGAACUUCAAUAUUCCCAUGCUUGAACUUCAAUAUUCCCUACAAAAAAACACAAACAAUAAUUAGUUAACUUGUAAAUGUAAUAAUCAUGUAAUAUUGUAAUAAAAAAAGAUAAAUAAAAAAUAAAGAAAAAUUACACCAUAUUGAAGAACAAUAGAAGAGAUAUGAAGAUAGAGAUUGAGUUAGAGAAUGAAAGAAUGAGAAUUAUACAUUUGAGAUGAGGGAAUGAAAGUUAAAGAAACUUAUAGAUGAGAGAAUUUAGAAUAAAAGUUAGAGAAUGAAAGAAUAAAAAGUGAAAGAAAUAAAGUGUAUGAGAUAUAAAUAGAGAGAUGGAGUUUUUAGCGAUAAAAUUGAAAUUUUGUCACUAAAACUUAUUUUGGCGGCAAACCACCCGCCUUUUAUUUUAAAAAUUUUCAAUUUGUUUAGAGACAAAAUUCUACAUUUGUUGCUAAAAGUAUACAUUCGUGAUAAACUUUAUCUUUGUCUCAAAAAAUAAAAAUGUUUGGUAGAAAUAAAAUGAUUUAAUCUUUAAUCUUUGACUUUUAGUAACAAAAUUAGAAUAUGUUGCUAUAAAUACACAUUUAACAACAAAACUCAAAUUUUGUCAUAAAAAGUCAAGAACUUAAGAAGUUAAAUCUUUAAAUUCAGAAUUUUAACUACAUAGACCGCCAUUGGUCACUCUCUCGUAACAAAACUAUUUGACAACGAAGAUUCUCUUACUAAAUGUUUUGGUACCAAAAUAUUUAGUUUGGCGCUAAAACUUUUAGCAACAAAAAGCUAAUUCGUUGCUAAUGUAUGUCUUUAGCUACGAAAUAUUUGUCGCUAAAAAUGUUAAUUAAAUAUUAAUUUAUUUCUUAAGUAUUUGACAACUAAAUAUUUUUUAUGUUGCUAUUAGGAGUGUUCAGAAUCCAAUCUGAUCCGCUCAAUCCGUCUAAUCCGCGAAAAUCCGAUCCGUGGAUUGGAUAUGAAUUGAAAAUUUAAAAAUCCGCAGUUGAUGGAUUAGAUAUGGAUUUACUUCUGUAAAUCCGUAAAAAUCCGCGAAUCCGCAAAAAAAAAAAAUAUAUAUUUGUUUAGUUAAAAAAUUAUUAUAAAUUUAAUUAAAGAAUAUUAUAAAUGUGACAUUACAUAAUUACAUAAGCACUAUAACAUAUCUUAGCCAUUACCCAAUAAUAAUAAAAAAUAAUCAAAUAAUCAAAUAUACGAAUAUAACUUGUAAAACAAAAUAAAAGCAAAGUCACACGCACUAGCAAAAGCAAAAUAACAUAAUGCCAAGUUACCAACAAUUUGCAAAGUCACCCGAAAUCAAAGUAACAUAACGUCAAGUCACCAACAAUUUGUAAACAAAAAACCCUAAGCUUCCCCGCCGUCACAUGCACUAGCAACACCCAAUACUGGUUCGAUACAGUACUCUCGACACCAAUUUGAAAGAUGUCGGCUGCACGAUUCCAGCAAGAGCAAGCUAUCUUCUUCCUGGAGUCCAUCGAGCCACUUUACAAUCACUAGUUCCAAUCAAACAAUUGCACUAUCACAACCUUUAAGAUCACCACCCGUACUUCUCCUAGUUCCCAUCGUUGACGGCUUUGUAAUCACCACUUUUUUAUAAGUACAACAGCCCUGGUUAAGGAUUAGACUAUGUUUGGUUUCAGAAACUUCGCCAUUUCAAUUAAUUGUGACUUUAUUUGAACAAUUAAUUUCGGUAUUAUAUUAAUGUAUUAUUGUAACUUUAUUUGAAUAAUUAAUCUUAGUGUGUUAUAUUUUGAAACUUUAAACAUAUUAUUGUAGCUUUAUUUGAACAAUUAAUCUCGAUGUGCUAUAUUUUGAAAUUUUGAAUGUAUUAUUUUAGUUUUAUUUAAACAGUUAAUUUGUUUAAAUAUUAUUUAAUUUUAAAUUUAAUUGGUAGUAAAAUUAUUUUCAUAUUAGUUUUUUUUAUUUCAUUAGUUCAUGGAUUGUGGAGAACUAAAAAUUUUAAUCGGAAACUAAUGCAUAAAAUGGUGGAUUGGAUACGAAUUAAGUUAAAUCUGUAUCCGAUCCACAGAAGUAUGGAUUUAAUAUUGAUUGAGUCAAAUCCGCAUCCGAUCCGCAGAUGUAUGGAUUGGAUUUAAAUUGAGUUUAAUCAAUCUGUGGAUUGGAUUGGAAGAUAGAGAUCAAGCUGAGGAUCCAAGAACAUUUUAGCAGAACAAAAAUCUCAAUCAUUGAACUUAGAAUUGGCUUUGGUAGCGGGGAAACAGAACCAAUAUCAACCAUUUGAGAUUUGGUGGAUGUGAAUAGUUUCCAAUUCAAUUGAUAUUUCUUCAAUAAAUAUAAUUUAAAAUACAUAAAAAAUCUCUCUUGAGAUUAACUAGAAUCCUCCAUCAGAAGAGCUUGUGAAUGGUCUCAUUGUGAAAGCGUGGGGACAAUUUUCCCGGGGUAAUGAAGCCAAAAGCAAAAAAUGAUUUGUGAUGUAAUCUGGUAUUAUUUUAUGUUACCACAACUCAAUCCGCAAAGACUAUCUAUGAAAGCAACAAGAAGAAAAUCUCAUACUCUGCAAGCAAAUUGAGAAUUUUAUAAUAUGUUGGUCAUAGAUAUUAAAAGGGACGGAUCUCUAUAUUUUAAUUUAAGUGUUUGUUUAGUUGUUAUGUUUUAAAAAUAUAUUUCUAUUAUUAAUUAUGUUACAUUCUUAUCUUUAUUUUUCUUUUUAUUUUUACAAUAAUAUCCUAACAACAAUACUUUUAACAUUAAUUAAUUUAUUUAUAAAAAAUUUAAUUAGCAGAUGAACCAAUAAAUAUUUAUUAACAAAUUAACUAAUAAGUAUCAAUAUAUCAAAAAUAAGAUUUUAUGUACCUUCAGAACAAUCUUACUAAUAAUUAUUUAUAAAUAAAUUAAUAUUGACUAACUUAAAGUAAUAUUUGAUAUCCUUUCAAUAAUCUUACUAACAAUUAUAUAUAAAAUUUUAAUUUACCAAAUUAAUAAAGUGAAAUUAUAACAUAAAAAUUUACAUUAGUUUUUAUUUUAUGUUUAAGAUUAAUUUGAUAAAUUAAAAUUUUUUCAGUAAUAUCUGAAAAAUAUUAUUGCAAGAGUAUUAUUAUAAAAAGAAAGAAAAAUUAAGGGUAGGAACAUAAUAUUUUUAACAGUAGAGGUUUUUGAGGUAUUAUUUAAAAUAUAAAGACUAAAUGGCCUAUUAAGCUAAAAUAUAAGGACUUAACAUGCAUUUACCCCAUCGAAAGAAAAUGUUCACUAGCUACCAUAAAUUGCAACAGAAACACUAGAUCUAUCUUGAAUCCUCCUGAUUGAAUUUACAGUGUGUGAUAUUGAGCAAAUGGCAAAUGGUUUUAGCAGCAAUAGUCUUGCUUUUGAAUCUCUGAUGUGAUAUGUCUUCUCAAUUGAUUACUUACUUGAAAGUUGAUUAAAUAUCUCUAUAUAAUAAUCAUAAAAAUAUUUUCUGCAUAUGUUAUAUAUGGGAUUGUCACAAAAUAGUAGAAACGCAUCAAAUAACAAGAUCAAUUUUAGAUGUAAUAGAAUACUAGUAUGAACAAUCUUUUUAUAAUCUGAGAGACGUUGAUACCAAACAUUAAAAAACUUGAAGCUGGACUGGAGGAAGGAAAAUUAUAGAAGCUAAUAUUAAUCUCCUCCGGUUUAAAUGAAUCUAACUAAGAUUAAAUGGGACAGUUUCCAUUUCAUCUGUCGCAAACAAUCCAAACUACUACCGGUACCUUAAAUCAGAGAUCAUUAGCCUUUUUUCGAAACCAGAAGUAGAACAAGGAUAACAUAUAGUAAUGAUAUUGUGAUCGGAAUUCGGAAACUUCACCAAAAGGCAAGACUAAAAGCUCAUAUUCACUAAAGCUAAUUUGUAAGAACUUGUAAGCAUAUUUAAGAAUUUGCACAUAAAGGACCAGAAAACUAUAAAGUUUCUUCUAUGAACGCAAAAGCUAACCUUCCGCAGGUGAGUGAAGACACUUCCAUUUGCUGUCUAUAGUAUUUGUUUCUAUCUUGGGCCUGAUAAUUGAAUUUCUGACAAAAAUGCACCACUAUUGUCAUCAAUUACUCCCGAAGAAGUACCCUUUUCCCUGCUCCACUUAGAGAAACUUGAGUAAGCCCAUGAAUUCAACUGAGAAGGGGUUGGAGGCUGAGGUACCGGACAGAGACCUUCAAGCAUUUGGACAACUUUAGUCAUCGGUGGUCUCAACUGCAUCUCAUUUUGUAUGCACCACAAUGCAACUUUAAUUGCAGUAGCAAUACUCUCAUCAUUUUCAUCCAUAUCUAGCCUCGGAUCAAGGAUUUCUCUUUGUUUACCUUCUUCUAGCAUCUUGAAGGCGUAGGAAGGAAAUUGAGCUUUCUCUGAAUCAUCCCCUACAGAAAAACUCUUCCUGCCCCCGAUGAUCUCUAGCAAGACCAUACCGUAGCUGUAUACAUCACUCUUCUCUGAAAUAGGAUUGUUUGUUAUCCAUUCUGGUGCAAGGUACCCCCGGGUACCCCUCAGUGUCGUGUAUACAAGGCUUUCUUCACGGUUCAUCAGCUUAGCCAAACCAAAAUCUGAAACUUUGGCAGUGAAAUUAUCAUCGAGAAGAACAUUCUCAGGUUUUAUGUCGCAAUGAACAAUCUUUACCUCACACUCCUCGUGAAGAUAAGCUAAUCCCUUUGCCGUACCUAAUGCAAUAUUAAAUCUUGUAUUCCAACUCAAAAACUGGCUUUCCUCAGUACUAUUGAAGAUCCAUUUAUCCAAAGACCCGUUUACCAAGUACUCAUAAGCAAGAAGCCUGUGAGCUCCCUCUAUGCAGAAACCUUUGAGUUUGACCAGAUGAACAUGAUGUACAUUCCCAAUUAUUGUGACUUCAGCGCUAAAUUCCUUCUUCCCCUGCCCAAUGCUCUCCAGCUUUUUGACUGCCACUUGGAUACCAUCUGGUAGCAUGCCUAGAUACACUGAGCCAAACCCUCCUUGUCCAAGCUUUGCAGAGAAGUUUUUAGUUGCUUUACAAAGAUCAUCGUAACUGAAACGAGUGGGCAUACCUGAAAAACUUUCCAAGAAAUAAUCCUCUUCCAAGUUUUCUUGAGAAAAUUUUGUUAAUCUCUUCCUUUUAUUGUGGUGCCAGAGUCCUGCAUAAAGUAGACUGGCAAUUACAAGUAUAGUUGCAACAACUAUGACAACAAUUAGUACGAUGGUUUUCCCUCCAUCACUUUCUCGAAUUUUAGAGUUUAAGACCUCAUUUCCGCUUGAUAUUUUCAUAUAUGAAACAUAACUGGUAGAACCCUGCUGAGAGCGUUGCAAACUACCUAUCUGAUCAAACAAGAAGCAAUUCUUCGUACUAUUUUCGAAGAACAGCACAGAGCAGGAGCAGUUAUGUAGGCAAGCUUCUUUGCAUGUAUUAAUAUCAUAUUUUGGAAAGGGUGAUACAAACCCAAGAGCAAAAUAAUCAAGCCUUUCACCCAGAUAGAAAAGCUUUGCCGAAUUCAUGGAUUCAUUGCAUGUUGAAGCAACUGGAGGUCUGCAGUUGAAUUGAGAUCCGAGGGAAGGAGGGCAUUGGCACCGAUUGUCAAAAUAGCACACAAAAUACGGGUUACAAGGCUCAGGAACGCUGCAAGAAUUUUGCGGGAUCUUGAUUACCUCAGAAGUAGCUGCCCUUCCGUUACGAAGAUUAGAAAAUGUAAUUUCCCCAUUAGAGCCUAAAAUGGCAGCCCAGGUAGCAUUCUCAUCAUUGUUUUUUGAGAAGAUGAAUUGCCAAAGCAAUGCCUUUUUAAUAUCAUAAAAAUUCCAAGCAUUGGACACCAAAGAAGCAGAAUGGACCUUGGCAGCUACACUGGUAUUGGUUUUCCGGCUAU